CGUAGCGGUGAUGUUGACAAUA
RNAcentral lists this non-coding RNA (22 nucleotides) under Arabidopsis thaliana (thale cress). Lineage: Eukaryota; Viridiplantae; Streptophyta; Magnoliopsida; Brassicales; Brassicaceae. The record is from RNAcentral.